Dioscorea cayenensis subsp. rotundata (Guinea yam) is the source of this 6840-nucleotide long non-coding RNA. RefSeq lists it as uncharacterized. Lineage: Eukaryota; Viridiplantae; Streptophyta; Magnoliopsida; Dioscoreales; Dioscoreaceae. The transcript is spliced from 10 exons. The record is from RefSeq and is a predicted model, not a curated record.
CUUGAUCUUUACCGAUGAUUCUUUUGGGCAACAGAGAGGAUCGGCGCGCUAGGGUUUCAAGGUUGAUAGAUUGGCGCCAAACUGAGGGUGUGGUGGUGGGAUGAAUCAGGGGUUGGAUCAGAAUAUUCAUAGGCUGUCCAUCUGCAGAUCACUUACAAAAAGACAAACCUCUCACCAGUUGUUGAAUGCCUCUCUAUAAAGGUAGUGCAAAAAAUCUGUCAACUGACUGUUAUGAGUUUUGGAGAGUUAGCUGAUGGAUGCUUGUUUGCAGAAGGCACAUGCACACCCGAGCAUGGACAUGAUGGUGAAAAUUAGAAGUCACUGCAUGAAGAAAACUUAUUUCUUGGCAUGAAUUGUUUGUUUCUUAAUACCUCAAUAUUUUUUAAUAUAGGAUAUUAUAUUAACAAGAAUGAGCCUUAUCAAGUUGGCUGUAAUCUACAUCAAUCUGAAGUAUGUACUCUUUUUUCAUGCAUGGAUUGAGGGCUUCCAAUUGAAGAAACUUUCUGGAGGACUAGGACUUUUGUUCUAGUAUUGAAGAUGUAGCAGAGAUUGUUCGUGUGUCUCCAUCUGUGAUGUUCAAGCAAUUUUCUGAUGCCAUGCAUGGCUCUCAUGAGAAAUUUGACUCAUUGUCUUCUUUGAUCAUCAACCAUGGGGGAUUUACAAAUUACUCUGGUUGAGGAUGGAGAAACCGCGCUGGAUGGUGUUUUGCUAUGUGUACCUGAUGAGUGGCAUUGUGUCGAUAUUGCCCUUUACGAGGAUAAUCAGAAAUACCUGAAAGAUCUUGAUGAUGAUAAGUUAAACCAACUUUCUUCUCUUUGAACCCCUUUCCGUAUUAAGAUCUGCAGUUGUAGGUUUCUGGAAGCUACCAAAGUCAAAGGAUUUAGCUGUGAAAUUCUCCUUGGAAAUUGGAAAGAUUCAAUACAUUCCACUUUGCAACUGCUCCACUAGUUAUUAGAGCGUCUGAAUGAGAUGUGAGGAGUUGCUCGUUUGAUGAUGAGAGCAAAAGCUGUGGGUAUUUUUGGUUGGUACGCUGCUCACAUCUAACUCGUCUAAUCAAUUUAGGUUUAAUUAUCUAAAUAAAUAUAUUUAUUAAUAAAUUUUUAAAAACUAUUUCCUAAACAUAUUUUUUUACUCAACAAAGCAAAAGCUCCUUUCCUUUACCUUUAGGUCAUUUCUCUGUCUUGCUAAAGUCCAAAGCCCGCCCGUUUCAAUUGUGUCAAAGCUCUUAUAUAUAUGGUCUUUCUAAUUUUGAAAAAUUAUUCCUUAGCAAAUAUGCCAAAUAGAUGAAACCAUCCCAAAUAAUUUUUCUGUAAUUCAUUUUCUGCAACUCCUAGCAAGUACUCAUAUCUUCUGCGGGUAAGCGGGCGGAUGUCUGUUUACCAGUAGGUCUAUGUCAUUUUAAUUUCUUUUAAAAUAUUUACGGGUUCAUUCAUAUGGAUUUAUUUUAAAAUUCUAGUUUUAAAAUAUUUAUGUUUUCACUAGUCAUAUAUAUAAAUAUAUGUUUAAGUUUAUGAAUUUAUUCAUGUAUAUCCUUUACUUGCUCAUGUUUCUCUUUCACCUAUUUAAUUAGAAUCAUAUUUUCCCCCUUAGUUAUUCUGUUAGAAUCAUUAAUUGCUUAUUGUGUCUAUUUAUCAUGCAUCUCUUUUACUUGCUCAUGCUUCUCUUUCACCGAGUCAAUUAGAAUCAUAUUCUUCCCUUAGUUAUUCCGCUAGAAUCAUUAAUUGCUUAUUGUCUUUAUUUAGGUUUAUUUUAUAUUAUUUAUUUAUUUUUAAAGGUGGAUAAUUCAAUUUCUUUAGAAAAAAAUAUAUAAAAGAGAAGAUCACAUCGACAAGAGUAAACAAAAGACUAAGAUUCUCAAGAAAAUGAUACAACACAAAACAGGGGAAGGUGAUAGAUACAAUAGAUCCACUAGGGGUGAAUUAACAUGCUGACAUGCAGAACCCCUGAGAAUGUAGCUUUAGGUUAGGGAUGCUCAGAGGAGAACUAACUUGUAUCUUGGGUGGGGUGGAUGUCUUCUCACUGGCGUCACUUGCUUCGACUGUCUUAGCACGGGAUCCCAUAAACUUCAAAUUGCGUUGGAUAAUCGAGAUGAAAUCCUUUAAUUUUGUCUUUUUCGCCUCUGGUGAUUCUGAAGGUUUGUCUCGCGUACUCUUUUUUUUUGAAUAAAUAAGGUGGUUGUGCUAAAUGCCCAGCAUCCUUGUACCGUCUCGAAGUUGAUUUUUUCUAUUGCUCGCUGCGUUAUAUCCGAUCCACAAAAGCUGCAUCAUUCUCCACGAAAGUUACAACAUUGGUGCUACUAGCUUGGUCCACCAUAAACCGAUUGACGACAUCAUGCGCCAAUAAACCAACAUGCGUUGAUAUAGGGUUUAAUAACAUGGGAGUUGGGACCCAUUGUGAAGACUUCAACAUGUCUCCCACAGCCAGUGAGAGCGUUCGGCAUACUUGUUAGUAUGAGAUUAUAUUAGCAUUAUGAGAUUAUAUUAGCAAUGCUAACUCGGAUAUUUUGAGGAUUCACUUUUUAUAAUUUGUGACAAGCAUCGAGUAACAUCACAUUCCAAAGCUUUACCACUUUGUGAGGUAGUGCCUUCUUGGCGGUUGGAUGAAGUGCACCAUCUGGCUCAUUAGAGACAAUGAGUCUGGGAUUACUCACACGUCGACAUGGACACCUGACAGAUGUGUGCGUCACCGCCUUGUUGUAGCACACUGCGUCGCCCCUUGGGGAGAAUGGUGAUGUAGGUCUGGGCCGAGGCAGGAUGCAAAGGCUCCGUCGGGCCCGUCAGCGUUUAUUGCACGUAAGUGUGAGCGAGCACAUGAGGAAUGGGACACCCACACCUGUGCGCCUAGCUAGACGGAGCCACAAAGCCCUUAAGAGACGGGCUAGGCUGACCUGUGAUUGCCUUGUGGUAUGCAAGCAGACACAAAACUGAGGGGGCACCAACGCACAGUUGCAGGCCGCGAACCAUCAUUAGGCGUGGCACCAUCUGGGUGGACAACGGGCACUAUGCAUACAACUUGACAAAAUCGGAAAGCCCUUGGGAAAGAAUAUGUUGCCCAACCCCCGUUUGAGGUUGGUGUUGCACAUUGGCAGCCACCCGGACGAAACUAAACUACCCGCAACCUAGGGAGAGUUAUCUUUUCUACUUAAUUGCCCGUCGAAAUGGCUCAGCCAGAGAUUAGGGUUCAACGCUUGAAAGAACACCACACGUUUACCAAUCUAAUAAGCUUUAUCGGUUCUAAACUUUUACCUAAAAAUUUACGAAUUAAGAUCUUUAUUAGAAGAUCAUCAGAUAUACGUUAAACAAAAAAACAGUAAAACACCCUAAUGCAAAACCCUGUCAUACAUAAAUAAUAUUGCUAUAUAUAAUUUUUUUUUUUUUUUUUCUGUUUUUGCACCUUUAUGAAAAUGAAUUAUUCUUGACACAUUCUUGCACAUUCUCUGUUUUCGCUAGAUUUUCCAAAUAUAUCCGAAUUGCACCAUCCUUUCCUGUGAUCAUUCACAAGUGCAAGAAUUAGUAAAUAAGCUUUUAAGUAAAUUACUCAUGUGCAUUUAAACAAGAAAUGUCGUGAUUAGAAGUUUACCUAAUGUGUUAUCAAAGUCUUGUUUUGGGUCAUAAGAUGUAGGAGAUAUACAAUUAUAUUCAUAAAAUGUGAACGUAAUUGAAACCAUAAGAUUAAAGAUGAUAAUAGAAUUCAGAUCUAAGUUAAUUAUACUUAAAAACAAACACAAUAUAAGGAGUUUUUUACUGACUAGGUUAAUAUCAAUUUUUUGUAUUGUAUCGUCGACCAACAAAGUAUACCAAGUAUUUGUUGGGUUAUAUUGCUUAUACUUGACCCACACUUUUUCCAGCACUUUGACAUAUAUAUAUGGGCCUUUGUUUCAUGUCUUCUGCAGUAAGAAUCACCCUGCAUAAUUGAAAUCAACUCAUUUUCAGAAAUAAUGGCUUAAAAAAAAAUUGGUGAUAACAAAUCUUUGUCAGAAAUUAUGAACUAGAAGUUACCCAAAUGAAGAAAAACUGAUCGCGAUAUUGUUUCAAAAAAUUAAUUGCCUUGUCCAAGUUAUGCCUGCAUUGUUCUCUUGUUAAAACUACAAACACUAAAAACUGAAAUAUCCUCAAAAGAUUAAUUCAACCUAUAAAGGAAAAAUAUGAAAUGUUUAAGAACACGUAUUACCUGGUCUUCGAUGAUCAAAUAGAAACUAUAUAGUUUUUAAAACAAAACUUUAGAAAUUUUUUAACAAACGGUCUCGGUUUCAUAGUUGCUGCAAAAGCAGACAAUGAUUGAUAAUCAGUUUAAAACAAAUAUAAUAUGUUGAAUAAAAGGGCAAAGACAUUUGGUGCAUUUAUAUUCAAUGUGAGCGAGCACUCCAUUUAGAUCAAGGAUGAGAAGUUUUUCAAUGAGUCAACUUCAGUGAGCACUCCUUUGCUCGGAUUCUCUGCAAAAAGAUAUAAACAAACACAAUAUAGCAAUUAUGAUAAAAAUAUCAUUGCCACUAAGCUUUAGGUCUGAAUCAUUAGUAUGCAAAAGAAAAGAACAAAAAAAUACGUUUUUUGCCUGCCCAAGAGUUAUUCUUUUUGGGGGAAAAAGGAAAAAUCAUUUAACCAAAAAAAUGUAUACCGAGUUGUUAGUUUGAAUCUUCUCUGCCCUCCUCAUCCUUAUUCCGUCCUUGCUAUAAAUUAAUGAUAAUGAUUACAUGAGAAAAAAAUUUAUGAGCGUAUUGUAGCUAAACUUAACUAAAAAUGUUGAAGCCUAUGUAACAAGAUUAAGUUGAUAAUUUUACUGUUUGACACUCUAAAAUUUGUGCUUUUCUUCCACGAUAAAGAUCCACCAACAAUAUCAUUUAGUGUAAAGAUGGAUUUCUGAAGUUUUGGAGGAAUCUUCAAUGGUCGAACUUUAUUUGAACUUAGAAUGUUUUUCUAAUCAAUUUCAUUAUGUUUUUUUCUUUGAGCAUACAUUGCAGUGCUCUGCAUGCUCUCUACACAAAUAUACCAACAAAAAAGAUCACCUACUUGGUCGUUAAAAAGAAAAAAUCAAUUAAAUGGAUGUCCUGAAAAAAAUUAACUUACCUCACCCUUCAGCUCUUUCUUUUAUAAGACAUGUCCCUUGUCCGGGAACCACUUUAUCCAUGUCUUCUGAUGCCUGUGUUGUAAUAUUAGUAGCGUAUGUUGCAACAAAAAAAUACUUUGUCCACCUCUAUUUAGCUUGUGUUACAACAUGCGUAUAAUAAGUUACAAUAUUACUUCUCGUGUAGUUACCCCUCGUGCAGCCUCCUUAGCCAUAUCUUCUGUUGCCGGUGUUACAACUUGAGUAUCAUAAGUUGCAACAUAAACUUCAUCAACCUUUCUCUUCACCCGUGAUAUUUCAAUAAAAAAAUCAAUAAUUAUUAGAAUGUAAUAUGAGUAAGUAUAUAAGUUGCUGCAUCAUUCGAGGAUUAUCUGCAUCAUUUAUCUCUUGUGCAGCUGCCUAUGUAAAAGCCUAGUCAAACAUAUCAUCAGCUGGGCAAGGAGAUGUUUCUUGUACAAUUGGCUCGGUAAAAGUCUCCGCAAUUAUCUCUCAUGCAGCCUCCUUAGCCAUCUCUUCUGCUGCCUGCGUUACACAUGAGUGUCGUCAGUUGCAACAUAAACUGCUUUGUCCACCUCUUCUGCAGCUUGCGUUACAACAUGAUUACAUAAAGUUACAACAUUACCUGUUGUGCUUCUACCACGACAAAAGCCUUCUCAGGCUUGUCUUCAGCUGCACAAGGAACAUCUUCAUUAACAGAGUUUCCUGUUGCUUGUGUUGCAACUUCAGUGGUGCAAGUUGCAACAUGGACAGCUUCACCUGCAACUCCGGCAAUCUUUCUCUUUUUCACCUUCUCCAAGAACUAAUUCACCCAUAUCUUCUAAUGCUUGCAUUCCAAUAUAAGUAGAGUAUGUCGCAACAUAAAUGCUUUAUCCACAUCUAUGCAUCUUGUGUUAGAACAUGCGUAUAAUAAGUUAUAAUAGUACCUCUCGUGCAGCUAUCCCUUGUGCAUCCUCAGUCAUAUUUUCUCCUGCCUGUGUUACAACUUUAGUAUCAUUAGUUGCAACAUAAACUGUACAUGCGUAUAAUAAGUUACAAUAGUACCUCUCGUGCAGCUAUCCCUCGUGCAUCCUCAAUCAUAUUUUUUGCUGCUUGUGUUACAACUUGAGUAUCAUUAGUUGCGACAUAAAUUGUUUCGUCAAUCUCUUCUUCACCUGUGACAUUUCAAUAAAAAAAUCAUUAAUUAUUGGAAUGUAAUUCAAGUAAGCAUAUAAGUGGUUGCAUCAUUCGCGGAUUGCAUGCAUCAUUCGUCUCAAUGUGCAAGUGUUGCCAACGAUCUUCCAUGCAUUGUCAAACUCACUAUGUACAACUGGCUAGUUUUCUUUUCUUUCCUUGCAUAUUUUUGUUUUCAGUUCCAGCAUCAUGCUGUGCAUGAGCGUCUCACAACAAAAGCUUGAUUAAUUUAUCAGACAAAAGGAGUUGUCUUGCACUUGACACUCCUCGAUCAUGAAUGGCAGCCUUUUCCAUACACAACAACGAUGUGAAAGCAAGGUCCAAGGGAAGUAUUUUAGCAUAUGACCGAAGUAAAAAAUCUUUGGGCAGCCUAUUAUAAUGUUUUCAUUCAAUCGGCAUUGAAACAUUGAAACAUGAAAAAUUAGAAAAGUGAUAGUUUUUAUUUAUUUUUUCAAAAUUCUACUCAAAAUAUUUAAAAUACAUUCAAUAAAAAAUAAAGUAAUAAUAAUAAUGAUAAUAAUAUUAUUAUUAUUGUUAUUGUUAUUGUUAUUGUUUUUUAGUAGGUUGCUGAAAAUUUAGGUAAAAUUUUUAAAAAGAUCUCAACACCAA